CGCACCUUGCACUCUUUGGUAUUCCGAAGAGUAUGUCUGUUUGAGUGUCGUGAAAUUCUCAACCCCCUUGUUUUGUAAUGGAACUCGUGCGGGCUUGGAAGUGGCUGUCUGUCGGAUGUACAAUCCGGCUCAGCUGAAAUACACGAGCAAUCCAUUGAAAAAAUUGGAACCGGCUUGACUCGGCGUAAUAAUAUUAUCGCUGAGGACGGAUCUAUUUCAGAUAGUGAUGCUUCUAAUGCCAUCUUUUAAGCUUUAGACCUCAAAUCAGAUAGGACUACCCGCUGAACUUAA
RNAcentral lists this unclassified non-coding RNA (291 nucleotides) under Basidiomycota sp. RNAcentral's name for it is "partial contains 5.8S ribosomal RNA, internal transcribed spacer 2, and large subunit ribosomal RNA". Lineage: Eukaryota; Fungi; Basidiomycota. The record is from RNAcentral.